AAUGACAAUAGCAGCAGAGAGGGGCUGGGCUGUGUCAGUAAUGACAAUAGCAGCAGAGAGAGGAGGGGCUGUGUCAGUAAUGACAAUAGCAGCAGAGAGAGGAGGGGCUGUGUCAGUAAUGACAAUAGCAGCAGACAGAGGGGCUGUGAUGAGAGGGGCUGUGUCAGUAAUGACAAUAGCAGCAGACAGGAGUGGUGAUGAGAGGGGCUGUGUCAGUAAUGACAAUAGCAGCAGACAGAGGGGCUGUGAUGAGAGGGGCUGUGUCAGUAAUGACAAUAGCAGCAGACAGAGGGGCUGUGAUGAGAGGGGCUGUGUCAGUAAUGACAAUAGCAGCAGAGAGAGGGGCUGUGUCAGUAAUGACAAUAGCAGCAGACAGAGGGGCUGUGAUGAGAGGGGCUGUGUCAGUAAUGACAAUAGCAGCAGAGAGAGGAGGGGCUGUGUCAGUAAUGACAAUAGCAGCAGAGAGAGCUGAAGGGACUGAGGGUUUACAGGUGCUGCUGUUCUACACAAGCUGCUACAGAGACAGACAGUACCACUUAGUAAGCCGCUACAGAGAGACAGACAGUACCACUUAGUAAGCUGCUACAGAGAGAGACAGACAGUACCACUUAGUAAGCUGCUACAGAGAGAGACAGACAGUACCACUUAGUAAGCUGCUACAGAGAGAGACAGACAGUACAACUUAGUAAGCUGUUACAGAGAGAGACAGUACCACUUAGUAAGCUGCUACAGAGAGACAGACAGUACCACUUAGUAAGCUGUUACAGAGAGACAGACAGUACCACUUAGUAAGCUGCUACAGAGAGAGACAGACAGUACCACUUAGUAAGCUGCUACAGAGUGAGACAGACAGUACCACUUAGUAAGCUGCUACAGAGAGACAGACAGUACCACUUAGUAAGCUGCUACAGAGAGAGACAGACAGUACCACUUAGUAAGCUGCUACAGAGUGAGACAGACAGUACCACUUAGCAAGCUGCUACAGAGACAGACAGUACCACUUAGUAAGCUGCUACAGAGAGACAGACAGUACAACUUAGUAAGCUGCUACAGAGAGACAGACAGUACAACUUAGUAAGCUGUUACAGUGUGAGACAGUACCACUUAGUAAGCUGCUACAGAGAGACAGACAGUACCACUUAGUAAGGCAUCAGUGGGUUCACUCCAUAGGUGUUAAAGUAGACUGGGACCAUCAUACUAGACAACGUGUACAUUCUGGAAAGGGUUUGAACAUGCGCUGCACACCACACACACACAAAACAUGUUUAGUUAUUCAGAAAAGACAAACGACAGGUUACAGGUCAGAUAUUAAAUCGCUGCAUAUAUUUAUUAGUAUUAAGCUUUCAAUCUAAAAUGUCCUGACAAAAAAAUGUUUAUUUUUUAUUUUCACUGUGCAGACAUGAAACAUGACUUCUGGGAGCAUAUCAGCAUGCUGGAAAGUUAAUCACAACGGGCUUUAAGGUAGCGCCAUUAAAUAGCAGGUGUAUCGCAUAGCUCUGAAAACUACAGGUACCAGAGUCGGGUAAUGAGGUCUAUCUUAUUUAGGUAUGUCUGUAUGCCCGUACUCAUAAAGGGUCUCGGAGUAGGAGUGCUGAUCUAGGAUCAGAUUAGCCUUUUAGAUUACAAUGAAUAAGAUUCCAUGGACAGUGUGGACCUGAUCCUAGAUCAGCAUUUAUACUCAGGAGACGGUUGAUACAUGUACACACAGCCCCUGGUAGUAACUGUUCACUGUGCAGUCAGUCUCUUCGUUAUCAAUACUGAUGUGAUACCCCUCCCUUGUUUGGAUCAGAGUGGUUCUGUAGAGACCAUCCACUCUACGCCUCAAAAUGGAGGAAUUCUCACUGGCUCACUGAUGCAGUGAUAAACACACCCUCCAUUUUGUGAAGUAAUUUGGGAAAAUCAGCCAACAAAAAGAACACUGUGAAAUAAACGUAACUCAAGCCAUUCCCUCACACUGUGUUCUCUACAUAGUCCUCAGCCAAAUCAACAUGAGCACCCUCUCCCCAAAAGCAGCAAUAUAAACAUUAAAAACCUUGAGAUACAUUUUUGAACCAGUGUUGGAAAAUAAAGAAUUCUUUAAUUCUGUAACGUUAAAAUACAUACAAAAUCAUUUCUUCUUUGUCAACACUUAGAAAGCCAGGACUGGCACGAAACUGUUUAUUGUAUGGUCAUUUUGGACCAUUAUCAGUCUAACAAUAUAUGCAGCAGGUUGUUGGAUCAUACACUACCGAGCUGGCCUGGUUACGCAUCCACCAUCGUUGCUAGAACCAUGCUGAAAAGGACCAUGGGAAAAGCCUUCAGAGCCAGCAUCGUUUGGUUGGAAUGAUCGUGUGAUAAGGGUACGUAUGAAGUGAAGGUCUGGUCUGAGAUCAGAUCUGAUAUCUGUAGGAUAGUGAAACUCAGGUUUGAUAUCUGUAGAAUAGUGAAGCUCAGGUUUGAUAUCUGUAGGAUAGUGAAGCCCUGGUCUGAGAUCUGGUUUGAUAUCUGUAGGAUAGUGAAGCCCUGGUCUGAGAUCUGGUUUGAUAUCUGUAGGAUAGUGAAGGCCUGGUCUGAGAUCUGGUUUGAUAUCUGUAGGAUAGUAAAGGCCUG
This is a long non-coding RNA of Oncorhynchus tshawytscha (Chinook salmon), 2589 nucleotides long. NCBI's taxonomy places the organism in Eukaryota, Metazoa, Chordata, Actinopteri, Salmoniformes, Salmonidae. The record is from Ensembl.